Jaculus jaculus (lesser Egyptian jerboa) is the source of this 873-nucleotide long non-coding RNA. RefSeq lists it as uncharacterized. The transcript is spliced from 3 exons. NCBI's taxonomy places the organism in Eukaryota, Metazoa, Chordata, Mammalia, Rodentia, Dipodidae. The record is from RefSeq and is a predicted model, not a curated record.
CGGUGGGGGUUGGGCAGGGUGGCCUGGCUAGGUAGUCCUGGCAGAACUGGAGCUUGCUGUGCAGUCUGGCCUACCAUAUUCCUUUCCUUGCAGCCCUCCCCCCUAGUCCAAGGACAAAGCGAAAUCCCAGUGCCUCUUCCUUCCCACAUUCUCCUUGUUCCUUUUACUUAAAAGGGGCCAAGAAUCCAUUUCAAAACAUUGUAUAAUUGUUCACUUUUCCGGGUUCCUAGAUCUUACUGGCAAGAACCACAGUAAACUAAAUGUUUCCUGCAAUGCUACUGAAAGUGUGGCCCAGUGCCAACUCAAGUUUGAUGCCAUCGAUACUAAGAUAAGCACCACAAUGGGGAAUGUGUAGUAACUGCAAUACCAAGCAACCAAGUGGGUGAAUUCUGGGCCGCUUGUAUUUGAGGUUUUCCUUCAGAACCACUUGCUGCUUCUCCACCCACCCACAUCCAGCCAGCAGAUCCUUCCUCCGACAACAUCAAACCAGAAGGGAAGUCAAGGAAGAGUGCACGUGGGAGAUCUGAUUUCUAAUUCUGCUCAGCCAGUACACCCAAUGCUGGCAAUCAUGGCCUUUUCCAUUGAGGGCAAGAGGGAAGAGGAGAAAAAAGAGAACGAUGGAGCCAGGUGUGGUAGCGCAUGCCUUUAAUCCCAGCAUUCGGGAGGCAGAGGUAAGAGGAUUGCCAUGCAUUCAAGGCCAGCUUGAGACUACACAGUGAAUUCCAGAUCAGCCUGAGCUAGAGUGAGACCCUACCUUGGGGGGAGGAGGGAGGGAAUAAAAGGGAACAACGGGCGUCUCCUCUCACCCACAACUACACAAACGCCGAAACUGAGCAUGAGCUCUGAGAGCCAUUUCAAAGGAAGAGCCUGAGA